UACGAAAGGGGCUAGCGUUGCUCGGAAUCACUGGGCGUAAAGGGUGCGUAGGCGGGGCUUUAAGUCAGGGGUGAAAUCCUGGAGCUCAACGCCAGAACUGCCUUUGAUACUGAAGAUCUUGAGUUCGGGAGAGGUGAGUGGAACUGCGAGUGUAGAGGUGAAAUUCGUAGAUAUUCGCAAGAACACCAGUGGCGAAGGCGGCUCACUGGCCCGAUACUGACGCUGAGGCACGAAAGCGUGGGGAGCAAACAGG
RNAcentral lists this ribosomal RNA (253 nucleotides) under uncultured bacterium. RNAcentral describes it as "partial 16S ribosomal RNA". It matches the Rfam family "Bacterial small subunit ribosomal RNA", at positions 524 to 776 of the family's 1533-position model. The record is from RNAcentral.